AGUAACGGCGAGUGAAGCGGCAACAGCUCAAAUUUGAAAUCUGGCGCAAGCCCGAGUUGUAAUUUGUAGAGGAUGCUUCUGGGUAGCGGCCGGUCUAAGUUCCUUGGAACAGGACGUCAUAGAGGGUGAGAAUCCCGUAUGUGACUGGCUUGCACCCUCCACGUAGCUCCUUCGACGAGUCGAGUUGUUUGGGAAUGCAGCUCUAAAUGGGAGGUAAAUUUCUUCUAAAGCUAAAUACCGGCCAGAGACCGAUAGCGCACAAGUAGAGUGAUCGAAAGAUGAAAAGCACUUUGGAAAGAGAGUUAAAAAGCACGUGAAAUUGUUGAAAGGGAAGCGCCCGCAACCAGACUUUGCGGCAGUGUUCGGCCGGUCUUCUGACCGGUUUACUCGCUGUCGUGAGGCCAUCAUCGUCUGGGACCGCUGGAUAAGACCUUAGGAAUGUAGCUCCCCUCGGGGAGUGUUAUAGCCUCUGGUGAUGCAGCGCGUCUCGGGCGAGGUCCGCGCUUCGGCAAGGAUGAUGGCGUAAUGGUUGUCGGCGGCCCGUCUUGAAACACGGACCAAGGAGUCUAACAUCUAUGCGAGUGUUCGGGUGUCAAACCCCUACGCGUAAUGAAAGUGAACGGAGGUGGGAACUUUUUGUGCACCAUCGACCGAUCCUGAUGUCCUCGGAUGGAUUUGAGUAAGAGCAUAGCUGUUGGGACCCGAAAGAUGGUGAACUAUGCCUGAAUAGGGUGAAGCCAGAGGAAACUCUGGUGGAGGCUCGCAGCGGUUCUGACGUGCAAAUCGAUCGUCAAAUUUGGGUAUA
Molecule: ribosomal RNA, 805 nt
Filed under: Pseudocercospora eucalyptorum
Lineage: Eukaryota; Fungi; Ascomycota; Dothideomycetes; Mycosphaerellales; Mycosphaerellaceae
Also listed under: 1 other name
Description: eukaryotic LSU rRNA
Rfam family: Eukaryotic large subunit ribosomal RNA
Source: RNAcentral